ACAGCCACUAGGGGUGUUGCAGAUGUGGCUGCCCUGUCACGUUUGUGUCAUGAGGCGGCAAAGAGAGGCUUGUCUGUGCUGAGUGAACAUCCAGAUGAUUGAUAGUCUGACACU
Molecule: small nucleolar RNA, 114 nt
Organism: Phyllostomus discolor (pale spear-nosed bat)
Lineage: Eukaryota; Metazoa; Chordata; Mammalia; Chiroptera; Phyllostomidae
Product: small nucleolar RNA SNORA17
Exons: 1
Source: RefSeq, a predicted model, not a curated record